RNAcentral lists this ribosomal RNA (255 nucleotides) under uncultured bacterium. RNAcentral describes it as "partial 16S ribosomal RNA". It matches the Rfam family "Bacterial small subunit ribosomal RNA", at positions 217 to 468 of the family's 1533-position model. The record is from RNAcentral.
GCUUUAAGAUUAGCCUGCGUCCGAUUAGCUAGUUGGUGGGGUAAGGGCCUACCAAGGCGACGAUCGGUAGCUGGUCUGAGAGGAUGACCAGCCACACUGGAACUGAGACACGGUCCAGACUCCUACGGGAGGCAGCAGUGGGGAAUAUUGGACAAUGGGGGCAACCCUGAUCCAGCAAUGCCGCGUGUGUGAAGAAGGCCUGAGGGUUGUAAAGCCACUUUCAGUGGGGAGGAGGGUUGAUAGGUUAAGAGCUAA